UCCGGAUUGGAGUCUGCAACUCGACUCCAUGAAGUCGGAAUCGCUAGUAAUCGUGGAUCAGAAUGCCACGGUGAAUACGUUCCCGGGCCUUGUACACACCGCCCGUCACACCAUGGGAGUGGGUUGCAAAAGAAGUAGGUAGCUUAACCUUCGGGAGGGCGCUUACCACUUUGUGAUUCAUGACUGGGGUGAAGUCGUAACAAGGUAACCGUAGGGGAACCUGCGGUUGGAUCACCUCCUUA
Molecule: ribosomal RNA, 242 nt
Filed under: Escherichia coli
Lineage: Bacteria; Pseudomonadati; Pseudomonadota; Gammaproteobacteria; Enterobacterales; Enterobacteriaceae
Also listed under: 3 other names
Description: partial 16S ribosomal RNA
Rfam family: Bacterial small subunit ribosomal RNA
Source: RNAcentral